This 267-nucleotide unclassified non-coding RNA is filed under the name uncultured Gaeumannomyces. Its description in RNAcentral is "sequence contains 5.8S rRNA gene". The stretch from base 1 to 53 matches the Rfam family "5.8S ribosomal RNA", at positions 102 to 154 of the family's 154-position model. Lineage: Eukaryota; Fungi; Ascomycota; Sordariomycetes; Magnaporthales; Magnaporthaceae. The record is from RNAcentral.
GAACGCACAUUGCGCCCGCCGGUAUUCCGGCGGGCAUGCCUGUUCGAGCGUCAUUUCACCACUCAAGCCCAGCUUGGUGUUGGGGCACCCGGCCGCCCAGCGGUCCGGGGCCCCCAAGUCCAUCGGCGGGCUCGUCGGGACCCUGAGCGCAGUAACACGCGGUAAAACGCGCCUUCGUUCGGAGGCUCCAGGCGGGUUUUUGCCGUUAAACCCCCUAAUUUUCUUAGGUUGACCUCGGAUCAGGUAGGAAUACCCGCUGAACUUAAG